UAGGGAAUAUUGCGCAAUGGAGGAAACUCUGACGCAGCGACGCCGCGUGGGUGAUGAAGGCCUUCGGGUCGUAAAGCCCUGUCGGAAGAGAAGAAAAACGGAAUGGCUAACAUCCAUUCCGCUUGACGGUACCUUCAGAGGAAGCACCGGCUAACUACGUGCCAGCAGCCGCGGUAAUACGUAGGGUGCUAGCGUUGUUCGGAAUCAUUGGGCGUAAAGCGCGUGUAGGCGGUUGGUUAAGUCGGGUGUGAAAUCCCUGGGCUCAACCGAGGAAGUGCAUCCGAAACUAACUGGCUAGAAGACGGCAGAGGAAGGUGGAAUUCCUAGUGUAGAGGUGAAAUUCGUAGAUAUUAGGAGGAAUACCGGUGGCGAAGGCGGCCUUCUGGACCGUUCUUGACGCUGAGACGCGAAAGCGUGGGGAGCAAACAGGAUUAGAUACCCCUGUAGUCC
RNAcentral lists this ribosomal RNA (450 nucleotides) under uncultured bacterium. RNAcentral's name for it is "bacterial SSU rRNA". It matches the Rfam family "Bacterial small subunit ribosomal RNA", at positions 355 to 796 of the family's 1533-position model. The record is from RNAcentral.